GGGACAUACUGUGGAGUUACUGGGUGGCCACCAUUUCAUGUAUCAGAGGCACAUGGUGAGAACAAUGGAUGAAGCACAUGGUGAGAACAAUGGAUGGCGGCUAUUUUAACUCACAGACAGUUUGGACUUUUCUACACGGUGCCAUCUCGCUGGUAUUUGGUGCACAAAGACAUCAUGCAGUAGUUUUAAACUAUACAACAGGGGACACAUUAUACAGUGAUUGUUUUUCAUUUAGCCUGUAUAUGUUCUGCGGAAUCUGCAUUAAACUGUAUCUUCCAAACUACUGAACGGAUCUGGGUGAAUUUUGGAUAUGUGGUUCACCCAGAUACCCCGGUUCCGAGGAUAU
This is a non-coding RNA of Pelobates cultripes (western spadefoot toad), 346 nucleotides long. The record is from the annotation of a GenBank genome assembly. NCBI's taxonomy places the organism in Eukaryota, Metazoa, Chordata, Amphibia, Anura, Pelobatidae.